This 460-nucleotide ribosomal RNA is filed under the name uncultured bacterium. Its description in RNAcentral is "partial 16S ribosomal RNA". It matches the Rfam family "Bacterial small subunit ribosomal RNA", at positions 338 to 795 of the family's 1533-position model. The record is from RNAcentral.
CCUACGGGUGGCUGCAGUGAGGAAUAUUGGUCAAUGGACGCGAGUCUGAACCAGCCAAGCCGCGUGCAGGAUGACUGCCCUACGGGUUGUAAACUGCUUUUAUAAAAGAAUAAAGUGAGGCACGUGUGCCUUUUUGUAUGUACCUUAUGAAUAAGGAUCGGCUAACUCCGUGCCAGCAGCCGCGGUAAUACGGAGGAUCCGAGCGUUAUCCGGAUUUAUUGGGUUUAAAGGGAGCGUAGACGGGUUGUUAAGUCAGUUGUGAAAGUUUGCGGCUCAACCGUAAAAUUGCAAUUGAUACUGGUAGGCUUGAGUGUAGUUGAGGUAGGCGGAAUGCGUGGUGUAGCGGUGAAAUGCUUAGAGAUCACGAAGAACUCCGAUUGCGAAGGCAGCUUACUAAGCUGCCACUGACAUUGAUGCUCGAAAGUGUGGGUAUCAAACAGGAUUAGAUACCCCAGUAGUC